GAUGAACGCUAGCUACAGGCUUAACACAUGCAAGUCGAGGGGAAACGAUAGAGAAAGCUUGCUUUUUCUAGGCGUCGACCGGCGCACGGGUGAGUAACGCGUAUCCAACCUGCCCAUCACUUGGGGAUAACCUUGCGAAAGUAAGACUAAUACCCAAUGACGUCUCUAGAAGACAUCUGAAGGAGAUUAAAGAUUUAUCGGUGAUGGAUGGGGAUGCGUCUGAUUAGCUUGUUGGCGGGGUAACGGCCCACCAAGGCGACGAUCAGUAGGGGUUCUGAGAGGAAGGUCCCCCCACAUUGGAACUGAGACACGGUCCAAACUCCUACGGGAGGCAGCAGUGAGGAAUAUGGUCAAUUGGACGAGAGUCUGAACCAGCCAAGUAGCGUGAAGGAU
This 393-nucleotide ribosomal RNA is filed under the name uncultured bacterium. RNAcentral's name for it is "bacterial SSU rRNA". It matches the Rfam family "Bacterial small subunit ribosomal RNA", at positions 28 to 409 of the family's 1533-position model. The record is from RNAcentral.